GUCUAUGCUUCCAUUCUACUCUCUCACUGACCCACGACUUCACGACUUGGUGGUGCCCUAGGUGUAGCGCAGGAAGGAAUCACGGUGGCGGUUGUUGAUUGGUGCCAUAUUGGAGAUCUGGACAGUGGUGGCUGUUAAGUGGGGCUACUAUAACUUGUUACAUAAUCUAUCAUAAUGGAUAGAAGUUGAAUUACGGACUCAAGGGAAGCGCUAACUUGUGCUCAACUAUUUUGCGCAACACAUAAGAGCAAGAAGGAUGGCAAAGCUAGUGAUGAACAUGCUGCCAAAGUGAUUAAGAGCUUGCUGCAACUCAGCCUUCUAACCCAGAUGAACCUUCACCCCGGGAUUUUUAUACCCAAGUUAGGGGAGAAGAAAGAAGGGGCCAUGUUCAGAUGUAUGGCUUGGGACCUACAUCUACUAGUCUUUGGGGGCCAUCUCCUAGUAAAGCGGACCUGGUAAGGAGGACCUCACAAGCAGAGGAAGAGACAUGUGUUGCUCAUGCAGAAAUGAAGGAGACAGUGAAAAAGAUGCGUGUUGAGUAUGAUGAAAAAUAUGAAGCUUUGAAUGCAAAAAUGGCUAUGAUUUUGCGUCAUAUUGAACAUCAAAAUUCUAAUGUAUAGGUAAAUAUUUUUGUUAUUGUACCUUGGUAAAAAUUUAAUUAUAUAAAUAUUAUAAGUUCUAAUAUAUUUAUAAUUAUAUUCUAUUAUGAAGGUGCAUAAUAAAAUUAUAUUUUAUAGUGAAGGUACCCGGCUCCUCAACUACACUUGGUGAUCCUUAAAUUUUAUUUUUGGUCAUGAAAUUCCGUCCUUGGGCAAAUUGAAGCAAGACGAGAGAUGAAGUUGAACCAUUAAUUCUCAAGACCCUCGCAUAGUCUCACUCAAAUUCUCAAUGAAAUGUUGAUGUUUUAUUUUGAAUGAUUUCCUUUUGAAGUUUUGUUAGAUUUUGGUGUUUCCUUUUGAACCUUUUAUUAGCACUUGACAUUUUGAAACAAAACUUAUAUGUUAUGGGAUGUUAUUGAAUUUUAA
Cornus florida is the source of this 1025-nucleotide long non-coding RNA. RefSeq lists it as uncharacterized. The record is from RefSeq and is a predicted model, not a curated record. NCBI's taxonomy places the organism in Eukaryota, Viridiplantae, Streptophyta, Magnoliopsida, Cornales, Cornaceae. The transcript is spliced from 5 exons.